RNAcentral lists this ribosomal RNA (2275 nucleotides) under Salmonella enterica. RNAcentral's name for it is "partial 23S ribosomal RNA". It matches the Rfam family "Bacterial large subunit ribosomal RNA", at positions 542 to 2802 of the family's 2925-position model. The record is from RNAcentral. Lineage: Bacteria; Pseudomonadati; Pseudomonadota; Gammaproteobacteria; Enterobacterales; Enterobacteriaceae. RNAcentral also lists the same sequence under 1 other name.
AAAAGAACCUGAAACCGUGUACGUACAAGCAGUGGGAGCACCCUUUGGGUGUGACUGCGUACCUUUUGUAUAAUGGGUCAGCGACUUAUAUUCUGUAGCAAGGUUAACCGAAUAGGGGAGCCGGAGGGAAACCGAGUCUUAACCGGGCGUUAAGUUGCAGGGUAUAGACCCGAAACCCGGUGAUCUAGCCAUGGGCAGGUUGAAGGUUGGGUAACACUAACUGGAGGACCGAACCGACUAAUGUUGAAAAAUUAGCGGAUGACCUGUGGCUGGGGGUGAAAGGCCAAUCAAACCGGGAGAUAGCUGGUUCUCCCCGAAAGCUAUUUAGGUAGCGCCUCGUGAAUUCAUCUCCGGGGGUAGAGCACUGUUUCGGCUAGGGGGCCAUCCCGGCUUACCAACCCGAUGCAAACUGCGAAUACCGGAGAAUGUUAUCACGGGAGACACACGGCGGGUGCUAACGUCCGUCGUGAAGAGGGAAACAACCCAGACCGCCAGCUAAGGUCCCAAAGUCAUGGUUAAGUGGGAAACGAUGUGGGAAGGCCCAGACAGCCAGGAUGUUGGCUUAGAAGCAGCCAUCAUUUAAAGAAAGCGUAAUAGCUCACUGGUCGAGUCGGCCUGCGCGGAAGAUGUAACGGGGCUAAACCAUGCACCGAAGCUGCGGCAGCGACACUGUGUGUUGUUGGGUAGGGGAGCGUUCUGUAAGCCUGUGAAGGUGUGUCGUGAGGCAUGCUGGAGGUAUCAGAAGUGCGAAUGCUGACAUAAGUAACGAUAAAGCGGGUGAAAAGCCCGCUCGCCGGAAGACCAAGGGUUCCUGUCCAACGUUAAUCGGGGCAGGGUGAGUCGACCCCUAAGGCGAGGCCGAAAGGCGUAGUCGAUGGGAAACGGGUUAAUAUUCCCGUACUUGGUGUUACUGCGAAGGGGGGACGGAGAAGGCUAUGUUGGCCGGGCGACGGUUGUCCCGGUUUAAGCGUGUAGGUGUGUGUUCCAGGUAAAUCCGGUUCACUUUAACACUGAGGCGUGACGACGAGGCACUACGGUGCUGAAGCAACAAAUGCCCUGCUUCCAGGAAAAGCCUCUAAGCAUCAGGUAACAUCAAAUCGUACCCCAAACCGACACAGGUGGUCAGGUAGAGAAUACCAAGGCGCUUGAGAGAACUCGGGUGAAGGAACUAGGCAAAAUGGUGCCGUAACUUCGGGAGAAGGCACGCUGACACGUAGGUGAAGUGAUUUACUCAUGGAGCUGAAGUCAGUCGAAGAUACCAGCUGGCUGCAACUGUUUAUUAAAAACACAGCACUGUGCAAACACGAAAGUGGACGUAUACGGUGUGACGCCUGCCCGGUGCCGGAAGGUUAAUUGAUGGGGUCAGCGCAAGCGAAGCUCCUGAUCGAAGCCCCGGUAAACGGCGGCCGUAACUAUAACGGUCCUAAGGUAGCGAAAUUCCUUGUCGGGUAAGUUCCGACCUGCACGAAUGGCGUAAUGAUGGCCAGGCUGUCUCCACCCGAGACUCAGUGAAAUUGAACUCGCUGUGAAGAUGCAGUGUACCCGCGGCAAGACGGAAAGACCCCGUGAACCUUUACUAUAGCUUGACACUGAACAUUGAGCCUUGAUGUGUAGGAUAGGUGGGAGGCUUUGAAGUGUGGACGCCAGUCUGCAUGGAGCCGACCUUGAAAUACCACCCUUUAAUGUUUGAUGUUCUAACGUGGACCCGUUACCCGGGUUGCGGACAGUGUCUGGUGGGUAGUUUGACUGGGGCGGUCUCCUCCUAAAGAGUAACGGAGGAGCACGAAGGUUGGCUAAUCCUGGUCGGACAUCAGGAGGUUAGUGCAAUGGCAUAAGCCAGCUUGACUGCGAGCGUGACGGCGCGAGCAGGUGCGAAAGCAGGUCAUAGUGAUCCGGUGGUUCUGAAUGGAAGGGCCAUCGCUCAACGGAUAAAAGGUACUCCGGGGAUAACAGGCUGAUACCGCCCAAGAGUUCAUAUCGACGGCGGUGUUUGGCACCUCGAUGUCGGCUCAUCACAUCCUGGGGCUGAAGUAGGUCCCAAGGGUAUGGCUGUUCGCCAUUUAAAGUGGUACGCGAGCUGGGUUUAGAACGUCGUGAGACAGUUCGGUCCCUAUCUGCCGUGGGCGCUGGAGAACUGAGGGGGGCUGCUCCUAGUACGAGAGGACCGGAGUGGACGCAUCACUGGUGUUCGGGUUGUCAUGCCAAUGGCACUGCCCGGUAGCUAAAUGCGGAAGAGAUAAGUGCUGAAAGCAUCUAAGCACGAAACUUGCCCCGA